This 500-nucleotide ribosomal RNA is filed under the name uncultured Glomeromycotina. RNAcentral's name for it is "partial small subunit ribosomal RNA". It matches the Rfam family "Eukaryotic small subunit ribosomal RNA", at positions 591 to 1092 of the family's 1831-position model. The record is from RNAcentral. Lineage: Eukaryota; Fungi; Glomeromycota.
CCAAUAGCGUAUAUUAAAGUUGUUGCAGUUCAAAAGCUCGUAGUUGAAUUUCGGAAUCGACGGAUUGGUCGCGCCUUCGGUGUGUACUGGUCUUGCCGGUUUCUCCCUUCUGACGAACCACGAUGUCAUUAAUUUGGUGUCGUGGGAAAUCAGGACUGUUACUUUGAGAAAAUUAGAGUGUUUAAAGCAGGCAUUAGCUUGAAUACAUUAGCAUGGAAUAAUGAAAUAGGACGUUUGAUCUUAUUUUGUUGGUUUCUAGGAUCGACGUAAUGAUUAAUAGGAAUAGUUGGGGGCAUUAGUAUUCAAUUGUCAGAGGUGAAAUUCUUGGAUUUAUUGAAGACUAACUACUGCGAAAGCAUUUGCCAAGGAUGUUUUCAUUAAUCAAGAACGAAAGUUAGGGGAUCGAAGACGAUCAGAUACCGUCGUAGUCUUAACCAUAAACUAUGCCGACUAGGGAUCGGAUGAUGUUAAUUUUUUAAUGACUCAUUCGGCGCCUUACG